GAGUAGACCGUGUAGAGGACGUGGUCGGUGUUCACAAAGCAGUCCAGCAUCUCCUCCUCCGCUUUGGCCUGACGCCAGAAGAAGGGUGGCAACGAAAUAGAGAUGGAGAAGACCCACACCAGCACGAUCAUGAUGGCCGCCCUUUUGGGAGUCCUUUUAGCAGAAUAUUCCACCGCAUCAGUGAUGGCCCAGUAGCGGUCCAGGGCGAUGACACAGAGAUGCAUGAUGGAAGCAGUGCAACAGGUGAUAUCCGACGACAGCCAGAAGUCGCAGACCACCUGGCCUAGUGUCCAGCGUCCAGUGACCGUGUACAUGGUGCUGAUGGGCAUCACCAGGAUGGACACGAGCAGGUGAAAUCAUCAGUGAAGACUCCAGCACUGAACAACCCUUUCCUGUAUAGCGAUAGCCCAUAGCCAGGCUCCUCUCAAACAGCCUCACUAUCUCUGAAAGUUGGGCCAAGUAACUCACUAAAGCAAAAUUUCAAAGCAAAACUCCUGCAAGUAUCAUUUACAAGAAGGAUCUAUGCAAGGUACAAAGCAAAUCUCAAGCAAACUGAAACUGACAGUUAAUCAAAAAAGAUGAUUAAGAAAAUAACUGUAAUCAAAGGAAAUAACUUCUCCAUCAACAAUCAGUGGCUUUCAUCAGAGUAUUAUGUCACAGCAACAGAAGAGAAACGAGGACAACAUCAAUAAAGUUGCAUUGCAUAAAUUUGCCAGCACCCAAAUCUAACUUGACCCUCCCAAGUAUACAGAGCCAUGUUCUAUCUUGUCCUUGUCAAAUACCCACAUCUUUCUCUCAGGUACUUCCAAAGGCUGAUGGCUGACACCUUGGCAACAAAAAUGUAUAAUUACAUUGUCUUGAUCCAUUCUUCACUCAGUAGAUUAUUGCUUUGGAUCCUAAGUGCCAAUAUUUUUUCUGUAUAUAUUAAAUGAAAAGGUCUAAGACAGUGGUGACUUCUCUUGUUAGAAAAGUUUACUUUUCUGACAAAUGUAUACUCUACUUUCAAUAUUAGAGUAUGCUUUUAUUAUGUCUAAUUUUUUCUCUACUACCGCUUGACUAUAACAGACUAGUUAUGAGAAUUUGUCCUAAGGUAGUAAAUUUUAAGGCUAAAACUUAGGGCUGUGGUGAGUUCUCAGGUAAUUGUCAGUUUGUUUCCAAAAAGAGUAUGAGACCCCAGUUCUCUCUCAUCCUUCUUUCUGCUUCUUAAUCAUGAGGUAAAGCAGUUUAACAUUUGCCCCAUCUUGGUCCUCUGGCAUCCUUAUAUCCAGUCCAAAUAUAGGUUAACGAAAUCUUAGAAUUUCCAAUCCAAAAGCAUGAGCCAAUAUGCACCUUUUAUAUUCAUUAAUCAAUCGUUUAACAUUUUGGUUGUUAUAGUAACAAGAAGCUAACUAACAAAGUCCCUUCAUGUCCUGAGAGAGGGAUCAUAUAUUUUUUUAAAUGUUUUUUUUUUGGUGUUAUUUUCAUUAUGUUUGCAUUUUAAGUAUGAGUGUGCAUAGAAAAUUGGCAUUUAGUUGAGUAAGAUUUACAAAUUUAAAAUUGCUGAGUAUUUUGGGCCAUAAAGAUUGGGUUGUCAUUUGUUUUAUGUUUUUGUGCAUAUGUAUGUUUAUUUUUACUUGUUAUCACUGUUUUAUUGUUUAAAAACAGAUGAAUUC
Molecule: long non-coding RNA, 1652 nt
Filed under: Mus caroli (Ryukyu mouse)
Lineage: Eukaryota; Metazoa; Chordata; Mammalia; Rodentia; Muridae
Description: lncRNA (MGP_CAROLIEiJ_G0004219.1)
Source: RNAcentral